This 274-nucleotide ribosomal RNA is filed under the name uncultured bacterium. RNAcentral describes it as "partial 16S ribosomal RNA". It matches the Rfam family "Bacterial small subunit ribosomal RNA", at positions 523 to 796 of the family's 1533-position model. The record is from RNAcentral.
AUACGGAGGGGGCUAGCGUUGUUCGGAAUUACUGGGCGUAAAGCGCACGUAGGCGGAUUAAAAAGUUAGAGGUGAAAUCCCAGGGCUUAACCCUGGAACUACCUUUAAAACUAGUAGUCUAGAGUUCGAGAGAGGUGAGUGGAAUUCCAAGUGUAGAGGUGAAAUUCGUAGAUAUUUGGAGGAACACCAGUGGCGAAGGCGGCUCACUGGCUCGAUACUGACGCUGAGGUGCGAAAGCGUGGGGAGCAAACAGGAUUAGAAACCCCAGUAGUCC